Molecule: ribosomal RNA, 235 nt
Filed under: Nyramonas glaciarium
Lineage: Eukaryota; Ancyromonadida; Ancyromonadidae
Description: Ancyromonadida sp. GTorruella-2022b partial small subunit ribosomal RNA
Rfam family: Eukaryotic small subunit ribosomal RNA
Source: RNAcentral
CCCCAGGGCUUAUUCGGUUCAAAAGCUGGCGCAUUGUCGGUGAUUCAGGAUAAUUUGGAGCGGGGCGAACCCGCGAGACCCGGACCUCAUGCUCUCGCAGCGGAGGCGACGCAUUCUAGUUUCUGCCCUAUCAAGUCGUUGUGAAGGUAUUGUCUUCCCAAGCUUAUGACGGGUAACGGAAAAUCAGGGUUUGAUUCCGGAGAGGGGGCUUGAGAAUUGGCCACCACAUCUAAGG